GCUAAACAGCUAGCUUAAAUACCAAGAACAUCUAAUACCAUUAAAAUAUCUUAAAAACCUACAACAUUCUAAAUUAAAUCAUUCUACCAUCUGAGUACGCGCGACAGAAAAGAGCCCAAAAAGCAAUAACAAAAGUACCGCAAGGGAACGCUGAAAGAGAAAUGAAACAAAUCAUUAAAGCGCUAUAAAGCAGAGACUUAACCUCGUACCUUUUGCAUCAUGAUUUAGCCAGCCCUACGAGCAAAGCGCACUUUAGUUCAAGACCCCGAAACUAAGUGAGCUACCCCGAGGCAGCCUAUUAAUUAGGGCCAACCCGUCUCUGUGUCAAAAGAGUGGGAAGACCCCUGGGUAGCGGCAAUAAACCUACCGAACUUAGUUAUAGCUGGUUGCCUAAGAAAUGGAUAUAAGUUCAGCCUUGUACUCCUCCCCUCAUAUAUAUUUAUUAUCUACGAAUCUGAGUAAUUUACAAGAGUUAGUCAAAGGGGGUACAGCCCCUUUGAAACAGGACACAACCUCUCCAGGAGAUUAAAGAUUAUACUAAAUAAGAUAAACCGCCUCAGUGGGCCUAAAAGCAGCCACCUGAAACAGAAAACGUUAAAGCUCCGGCGAAUCAUGAUCUAUUAUUUAAAUAUUCCAUCUUAAACCCCUAACAAUAUUAGGCCACUUCAUGCCCACAUGAAAGAGAUACUGCUAAAAUGAGUAAUAAGAAGGAACCCCCUUCUCCUAACCUACGUGUAUGCUAAAUCGGACCCCCCAUUAGCAAUUAACGAACCCAACCAAAGAGGGCACUAUGGUUACAUUAAAUAACAAGAAAUUUCCAUACGCCUCCAUCGUUAACCCCACACAGGAAAGUAAACAUAGGAAAGACUAAAAGAAAAGGAAGGAACUCGGCAAACAUAAACCUCGCCUGUUUACCAAAAACAUCGCCCCCUGCAAAUCAACAUAUAGGGGGUCCUACCUGCCCAGUGAAAUGUUAAACGGCCGCGGUAUUUUGACCGUGCGAAGGUAGCGCAAUCACUUGUCUCUUAAAUAGAGACCUGUAUGAAAGGUGAAACGAGGGUUUAACUGUCUCCCAUUUUAAGUCAAUGAAAUUGAUCUGCCCGUGCAGAAGCGGACAUACAAAUACAAGACGAGAAGACCCUUUGGAGCUUAAGAUAUAAGACCAACUACCAAUAAACAAAUCAACUAGGUAAUACCUGGUCCCAGUCUUCAGUUGGGGCGACCACGGGAGAAAGUAAAGCUCCCACGCGGACUGGGACAACCACCCCAAAACCCAGAGAGACAGCUCUAAGUCACAGAACUUCUGACCAAAAGAUCCGGCCAUCCGCCGACCAACGAACCAAGUUACCCUAGGGAUAACAGCGCAAUCCCCUUUCAGAGUCCAUAUCGACAAGGGGGUUUACGACCUCGAUGUUGGAUCAGGACAUCCUAAUGGUGUAGCCGCUAUUAAGGGUUCGUUUGUUCAACGAUUAAAGUCCUACGUGAUCUGAGUUCAGACCGGAGUAAUCCAGGUCAGUUUCUAUCUGUAAUGCCACUUUUCCUAGUACGAAAGGACCGGAAAAAUGAAGCCCAUGCUAACAGCACGCCUUACCCCAACUUAAUGACAACAACUAAAUUAAAUAAGGGAGGACAUAACUCUUACAUCAAGAUAAGAUU
RNAcentral lists this ribosomal RNA (1656 nucleotides) under Noturus leptacanthus (speckled madtom). Its description in RNAcentral is "16S ribosomal RNA". The stretch from base 107 to 1542 matches the Rfam family "Bacterial large subunit ribosomal RNA". The record is from RNAcentral. Lineage: Eukaryota; Metazoa; Chordata; Actinopteri; Siluriformes; Ictaluridae.